AGUGAACGCUGGCGGUAGGCCUAACACAUGCAAGUCGAACGGCAGCACAGUAAGAGCUUGCUCUUACGGGUGGCGAGUGGCGGGCGGGUGAGGAAUACAUCGGAAUCUACUUUUUCGUGGGUGAUAACGUAGGGAAACUUACGCUAAUACCGCAUACGACCUACGGGUGAAAGCAGGGGAUCUUCGGACCUUGCGCGAUUGAAUGAGCCGAUGUCGGAUUAGCUAGUUGGCGGGGUAAGGGCCCACCAAGGCGACGAUCCGUAGCUGGUCUGAGAGGAUGAUCAGCCACACUGGAACUGAGACACGGUCCAGACUCCUACGGGAGGCAGCAGUGGGGAAUAUUGGACAAUGGGCGCAAGCCUGAUCCAGCCAUACCGCGUGGGUGAAGAAGGCCUUCGGGUUGUAAAGCCCUUUUGUUGGGAAAGAAAAGCAGCAGGUGAAUACCCCGCUGUUCUGACGGUACCCAAAGAAUAAGCACCGGCUAACUUCGUG
RNAcentral lists this ribosomal RNA (492 nucleotides) under uncultured bacterium. Its description in RNAcentral is "partial 16S ribosomal RNA". It matches the Rfam family "Bacterial small subunit ribosomal RNA", at positions 29 to 507 of the family's 1533-position model. The record is from RNAcentral.